CUUGCAGGUGUGGAAAUCUCUUCCGCAGCCUAAACGAAAGUCAAAUUCAGGUGCCCGUUCAGGAAGCACGACAAUUGCAAUGACAAAGCACUAUUGGCCUAUGUACUUUUGAAUUUAGGUUUUUACCGAGGCCAGGGCUAGACACGAAAUAUCAGAUAUUUAUGUCACGUUCUUUCUUUAAGGCGAUUUAUGGGAAACGUACUAAUUGCCAGAUAGUAGCUUAUUCCAGGCUGUUAGAAAAAUGACACUUAGGCUAUCAGCGGUGGAAGCAUAUAUUUUGACAUCAGGAGUUUGGAGUGGAUCAUUCUGACUCUCACGUAAGUCUGCUGGACUACCAGAGGGAUUUGGACUCCAUGAUCAUCAUCUUCACGUGCAAGACCCCCUUUAGUUGCUCAUGGAGUGGAUGCUGGUGUGCUGCUUAUGGAUCUAUUUAGGCACUGCUGCUGCUCUUGUGAAAAAGCAAGUGCAGAUUGGGGACCAUGUCACACUUGACUGUGACAUAAAUGUGAAGAACAAUGGUCAUUAUGAGAUUGAGUGGAGAACUCUCGACCGCAUGGUGGCCAAAUCUGUCAACGGAAUCCUCACCCCAGGCUGUGGGUUUAAGGACAGAUUGUAUCUUGAUGGUGUAUCCCUCACCAUAACACACACUCAGUACGAUGAUCAUGGUCAAUAUGAAUGCUGGUAUGACGGACAUCAGAAAUCUUGGUCAUUGCAGAUAGACAUUCACAACAAUCUUACAACAACUGUUGGACAGCCUGUCUGGAUUCCCUGUUAUGAAAAACUAAAAAAGUGCAGUAAAGACGGAAGGGCAAAUGAAAUAUCUUUUGAAUGGUGGAAAGACAAAAACCCUGUGCCUGUAUUUCAGAUGGAGAAGGGUGCAAGAGUUGCAAAGGGGAGAGCAGAGGAGUCACCUGAUGUAAAACAGGGAAAUUUCUCUCUUGUCUUUCACAAGGCAUAUUUUUCUGACAGUGGGACCUACCGGUGCAGUGAGCAGGAGGAGAGUACUAUUCUUCGGAUGAAAGUUCACAAGGUGGAAGUCAACGUUUCUAUUGAGCAGUCUCUCUCCCUUCACCUUUACACAGUCGAUCCUGUUGAGGUGUAUUUCCAAAAGGAUAAUUCCAACUAUCCUGUCCGUCUUUGUGGACCUGAUCAUCAAUGCUUGCAGAACUGGGAAUACAACAACAAUACACAAACAAUUGAGUUGGAUGCUGUAAAGAGGGAACAUUUAGGGAUAUACACUGUGAAAGAUAUACAGAAAAAGUGUGUGUUCUGCAAAUACAUUUUGAUAUCUCUUCCUAACUUUGUAUCUACUGAGUCUCGUGUUGUGUACAUACGCAUAGGGUUUUGCUUGCUCUUUUUUGUUAUUGUAUGCGCCAUCAUCUGUAAAAAACUAAAAUAUUGUAAAAGUAGGGUUAAAUACAUGUCCUGUCCUGUGGGCAACAGUGGUACAGGAGGUAGAGAAGUCGUUUAGUAAUCAGAAGGUUGCUAGUUCGAUUCCUCACAGUCGAGGCGUCCUUGAGCAAGACACUUGGGGUAAAUGCUCCUUAUGUGCAGUGUGCCAUCUGUGUAGAUGUAAAAUGAAUAUACAUCCUUGUAAGAUGCUUUGGAUAAAAGCGUCUGCUAAAUAUGUAAAUGGUCAAUAAAGUGUAGAAGCAGCAUUUAUAGAUGUGGUACUGUUUCUUAGUUGUAUAUGUGUAUACUGUUUGACAGUGUGUCUGUUUUGUUCUGGUUGGGAGUUGCAGGAAAAUAUAUGUUUUGUUACAAUGUCAGUUUCAUGUUCUAUUGUGUUAUGGUUCGUGCACAUCGAGAAGUGUUUUCAUUUCAAGCUGUCAUUUUAUGAAUCUGAGCUCUGUCAAUUCGCGUGACCCGUAAACUAUAAAUAAAGACAUACUCAACUCACGACACCGUUACUCAGCAGAUUCAAGCCUAUUUCAUGUUCGCGUUAACUACAGAUACCCUACUGUAAAUGUUGAUACUUGUAGGCCUAUUUGUAGCAUUUACUCUACAUUUUGUAUUGUAUUAAACCUAUUCUUGCCCUCAUCUAAUAAUCUAACAUUUUUAUGUACAUACAUAUUUAUUUAGUCAAGAACAGUUAUACAGUAAAGCUCAUGUUGUUGCUUAUUUAUUCAUGUACAUUUCACAAAAUGUUCAAAUCUAGCAGAAUAUAUCGACUACAAGGUCACACUCUUCUAGAGGUCUCAAAACCGCAGGUGUUGUUUCACAUACUAUCAGUCUGCAGUCGCCUGUCGCCACAUCCACAAACUAUAGUUCCUGACAUUUUCACUCAGUAUAAGAUAUACAACAAAGUUUUUCGUCUAUUGUUGCCAGAAAUGUAAUCAUUCAAGAUAACACACUUUUCUUGGAACGGGAAGUGUUUUAUUUCACUUAAUUCUUGCUCACUCUCUAAUGAUGCGGUUAUAUUACGCAGUCUAUCUGUCUAGAGAAGGUUAAGCUUUCCCCAUAGCUGUAAGCCAGCGGAUGAAACAUACGCGUAGAUGAGUUUAAAGAUAUUGAUUUGCAUAUUUUCUUUUGAGUUUUAACUUUGGGUUGUAUUGUACCCGUGAAUAUUUGUAUGGGUGAAAAUCUAAUGGAUGUAAAGAGCGUGAAGAAUGGCUGUUUGGGCGGAAAUAAUCUGGAAUCUGCAAUCGUUGUUCUUCCGCAGUCUAAACGAAAGUAAAAUUCGGGAGCCCGUUCUGUCAGCACGUCAAAACAAUGAGAAAGCAGUAUUAGGCUGUGUACUUUUUAAUGUAGAUUUUUACAGAGGCCAAAGUUUGGCACGAAAGAUCGGAUAUCUACGUCACGUUAUUUCUUUAAGACAAUUUACGGGAAACAGACUAAUUGCCGGGUAGCCUACUCCAGGCUGUUAGAAAAAUGGCACUUCGGCUAUCAGCGGUGGAAGCAUGUAUUUUAAUAUCAGUGUUCUCUUCUGUAGCUGGUGAACCUCUCUUGAAGAAAGUCGUACUUGGAAGGCCAGCCUCUCUUCAUUGUGAUGGAAAAGGCAGCUUACACGAUGAGCUGGAGAUCAUGUGGAAGACCCAGUAUCAGUUGGUGGCUAAUUUCUCUAAAGGACAUCUUAACUAUGGCCUUGGGUUUGAGAAUAGAGUACGUUUUGAAAUUGUGGAUAGUGAGUUUUGGUUCACUCUUCACAUCAAUCCCACUGUUUUCAGUGACACUGAUACAUACAGUUGUUUCCAUGGAACAGACUUGAUAAGGACAUGGAAUUUGGAAGUCACUGUGUUACCCCCUAAAGAAGUAGACGUCAUUGAAAGAGGCACAGUUACUUUGCCAUGCUAUGGCCUCAACAACAGACAACUGGCUUCUGACAAAUUCAAUGUCCAGUGGAAGAAAGAUGGUAAGGUGGUGCUGAACCUAACCGAAGGAACCACACAUCAUGACCAAGAAAUUGGUUACAGAGCAAACAUCUUUCUGGAUGAGAUUCGCAAAGGAGACUUCUCUAUGGUGAUAAAAAACAUUGAAAUGACUGAUGAAGGAAACUAUGAAUGUUUCACUGAAAAGAAUCAAGGAAAGAUUUUGAACUCUGUUAAAGUCCACGUAAUUAAAGGCCUAUCCCAUGGAUAUCGUCAACGUGUGUUGCAUUACACAGGAGAUUCUUUUAUCUUUUUUGUUUCUACAGACGACGUUGAAAUCCUUCUCCUCACCGGAAAAAUAGGUGAUAAAAGAAAGGUUUGCAAAAUCAGGGGGACUGGUGCAAAGUGUGUCGAGAAUGUACGAGAACGUACUGCCGUGCACCAGGGGUAUUUAACUCUGAAAGAUUUGACUAAGAGUGAUGAAGGUACAUAUAGAGUGGAGGACCUCAUGGAGUCUACCGUGACAGAAAUUGUUCUUGAAGUGAGACGGCCUCUACCAAUAGGUAUGUUUGUGAUUGUGACUUGGUGUACUAUGGUGGUACUUCUGAUUGGGUUCAUAAGAAGAAGAAGAAGAACGCAAAAUAUAGAUUCGUGUUUCUUUGGUAAAUUUAAUUCUUAAUUUAAACUUUCCUGUGGUGAGUGAAUACCAGAACUACAUACAGUAGUAAUUGUAAUUGAAAGUGGAACAUUUUUGUACAAUUGUUUUCCAUUUUGAUCUUGCCUGUUAUAUGCCUUUACUUUAAUGUCUACCCAAGUAGUGCCCCCUGCAGGGCCAGUUACAAAAGGCCAUGUAUCCACUGUGGAGGGGCACAGGUGUAAGUCACAAUUCAAAUUGACCCUUUUUAUGGACAUUGUAUGUAGUCUUCUCUUCUUGUAACAUUGUUUAGUUUUUUUUGUCAUGUUAUAUCAGAAAUACAUUAAAAUGUAUUUGUCUAUAAUCCUACUCAGACAUUUUUUCAUUUUGACCCAAGUCACUGGUGUCAGACUAACAGAUAAAUUGUUCUUGGUUCCAAGGGGGAUAUGCCUUUUCUUUAAUGUCUCCCAUUUUGAUUUUGCCUGUUAUAUGCCGUUACUUUCAUGUCUACCCAAGUGGUGCCCCCUGCAGGGCCUGUCACUGCCAUAGUGGUAGAUUGCUAAAUAUCCUGUUAAAAGGACAUGUCUCCACUGUGGAGGGGCACAGGUGUAAGACACAAUUCAAAUUGACCCUUUUUAUGGAUAUUGUAUUGUUAUGUUGUAUCAGAAAUACAAUGUAUUUUUCUAUAAUUCUUCUCAGAUAUUUUUUAAUUAUAUCCCAAGUCACUGGAGUCAGACUAACAGAUUAAAAAAAGGAAACCCAUUACAAAGAACAUCACAUAUGAAGCUACUUUUCAAGUCAAGCAUUGAGUCACAGAUUUUCAUCAAUGUCUGCAUUGGCUGGGCUUUUGGAAAUUGUUUGGCUAAGUUACAGAUCAACAUGCCACAUUCCAAUGUAUGCCUGCAUGAUCAUGGACCAGGAAAAACUGCAUUCAUGAACUCUAAGCUCAUGGUUGUGUAAGGACAGAGAUGAAAUCAGACUAAUGAAACCCAGUCAUGAGCUAAACAAUACAGCACUUGGUAUUAUACUAUACUAUA
Clupea harengus (Atlantic herring) is the source of this 4979-nucleotide long non-coding RNA. The record is from Ensembl. Lineage: Eukaryota; Metazoa; Chordata; Actinopteri; Clupeiformes; Clupeidae.